RNAcentral lists this ribosomal RNA (253 nucleotides) under uncultured prokaryote. RNAcentral's name for it is "partial 16S ribosomal RNA". It matches the Rfam family "Bacterial small subunit ribosomal RNA", at positions 524 to 776 of the family's 1533-position model. The record is from RNAcentral.
UACGUAGGGUGCGAGCGUUAAUCGGAAUUACUGGGCGUAAAGCGUGCGCAGGCGGUUCGUUGUGUCGGUGGUGAAAGCCCCGGGCUUAACCUGGGAAUGGCCAUGGAAACUGGCGAACUGGAGUGUGGCAGAGGGGGGUGGAAUUUCCUGUGUAGCGGUGAAAUGCGUAGAUAUAGGAAGGAACACCAGUGGCGAAGGCGACCACCUGGACUGAUACUGACACUGAGGUGCGAAAGCGUGGGGAGCAAACAGG